AACACAUGCAAGUCGAACGAAGCCUUCGGGCUUAGUGGCGCACGGGUGCGUAACGCGUGGGAAUCUGCCCCUUGCUUCGGAAUAACAGUUAGAAAUGACUGCUAAUACCGGAUGAAGUCUUCGGACCAAAGAUUUAUCGGCAAGGGAUGAGCCCGCGUAGGAUUAGGUAGUUGGUGGGGUAAAGGCCUACCAAGCCGACGAUCCUUAGCUGGUCUGAGAGGAUGAUCAGCCACACUGGGACUGAGACACGGCCCAGACUCCUACGGGAGGCAGCAGUGGGGAAUAUUGGACAAUGGACGCAAGUCUGAUCCAGCAAUGCCGCGUGAGUGAUGAAGGCCUUAGGGUUGUAAAGCUCUUUUACCAGGGAUGAUAAUGACAGUACCUGGAGAAUAAGCUCCGGCUAACUCCGUGCCAGCAGCCGCGGUAAUUC
Molecule: ribosomal RNA, 430 nt
Filed under: uncultured bacterium
Lineage: Bacteria
Description: bacterial SSU rRNA
Rfam family: Bacterial small subunit ribosomal RNA
Source: RNAcentral